AUACGGAGGGUGCGAGCGUUACUCGGAGUCACUGGGCGUAAAGCGUCCGUAGGCGGUCGGGUAAGUCGGGUGUGAAAACCCCGGGCUCAACCUGGGAAGUGCACCCGAUACUGCUCGACUCGAGUGCGGGAGAGGAUGGCGGAAUUCCCGGUGUAGCGGUGAAAUGCGUAGAGAUCGGGAGGAACACCAGUGGCGAAGGCGGCCAUCUGGCCCGCAACUGACGCUGAGGGACGAAAGCGUGGGGAGCAAACAGGAUUAGAAACCCUAGUAGUCC
RNAcentral lists this ribosomal RNA (274 nucleotides) under uncultured bacterium. RNAcentral describes it as "partial 16S ribosomal RNA". It matches the Rfam family "Bacterial small subunit ribosomal RNA", at positions 523 to 796 of the family's 1533-position model. The record is from RNAcentral.